UACGUAGGGGGCUAGCGUUGUCCGGAUUUAUUGGGCGUAAAGAGCGUGUAGGCGGCCAGGUAGGUCUGCUGUGAAAACUCGAGGCUCAACCUCGAGACGCCGGUUGAAACCAUCUGGCUAGAGUCCGGAAGAGGAGAGUGGAAUUCCUGGUGUAGCGGUGAAAUGCGCAGAUAUCAGGAAGAACACCCGUGGCUAAGGCGGCUCUCUAGUACGGUACUGACGCUGAGACGCGAAAGCCAGGGGAGCAAACGGG
RNAcentral lists this ribosomal RNA (253 nucleotides) under uncultured bacterium. Its description in RNAcentral is "partial 16S ribosomal RNA". It matches the Rfam family "Bacterial small subunit ribosomal RNA", at positions 524 to 776 of the family's 1533-position model. The record is from RNAcentral.